RNAcentral lists this long non-coding RNA (2688 nucleotides) under Manihot esculenta (cassava). RNAcentral describes it as "long non-coding RNA (MESC_LNC010695)". Lineage: Eukaryota; Viridiplantae; Streptophyta; Magnoliopsida; Malpighiales; Euphorbiaceae. The record is from RNAcentral.
GUAAUUCAAUUGGAUACUGUUCUUGGAUUGGGUUGGCCACUUGCCAUUUCCCAGAAGCAAUGGUAUGUUCAAGAAUCUCAAGCUUUGCUCAUCUCUUUCCAUUUUAGAUCUCACUCUCACCGAUCUUCUUGACAGCAAACACAAGGUUAGAUACUUCCUCUUUAGCUUGAGUUCUUUGAGAUUCACGCAACAUCUUCUUCUAUCUUUAAUCCUCUAACCCUUGCUCAUAUUCUUUCUCAAAGACUGAAAUUGUUGAUUUAUGAAUUUGAUAUGAUCUCCAAGAUUCUUGCGCCUUUCAAUUUCAGCAUUGAUUCUUCAUUCAACCUAGUUAGGUUUGAUGGAGUUUAAAAACAGUAUGUAGGAUUAACUGUUAAAACAAUCCUGUUUGGACCGGUAUUAUUAGGCUUGAUUGCUAUAGUGUGUGGGGAGAAAAUACAGGAAGUCAGGAGGAAAGUGAGGGUAAGUAAAGGAAUAGAAGAAAGGAGAGAAAAUAAGGAUUCAUUAAAGUUUUUGACAAUUACUUCUGCAAAGAUAUCAAAUGCAGCUUCAGGAAAUACCAAAGUGACUAGCUAAAAGUAUAAUUGAUCAACUAACUAGUAACAGUGCCUAGCUCAGACACAUUACUCGCCUGGAGACAUGGGUUUGAGUAGCAUACCCCAAUCCCCUACUUAACAAUAAAAUAAAAGGAAAUAAAAGCUAACUAGUAACAGUUACUUGAUUACUGAGUAGUUAAUGGGUCCUAGGACAUCUAUCUUUUAGCCACUUUAUUGCUAAUUUUGCUUUAACUGCCAUUGAGGCUGAGAAAAGAGGAAGAGAUAAAGGAACAUAGGCAUAUCCUUUGGAGGAUUAUGCUGUUCAUAUGCUCUAAACCCUAUAAAUUUCUUCUGUCAGGUGGAGAAGACUUAAAAGGUCUAAAGGUUGCAUCCUUGCUGGAUAUAUACUGGUCCAACAGCACAUGCUUACUAAUUGAAUAUUGCUUAUAUCACAUAAAUCUUUUGGUGCCUUUAUGUGACAUAUUUUGGUUUCAUGUAUCCGAGAUCUCCCAUAUUAUGUUAUUUUAUGAGUUAUGCCCUGCCAUAUAUCAAACCUCUCUAUAAAUAUUUACGUUUCAUCAUUUUAAGAGAAAUUUUUUACUGGACAUCAACACAACUGUCAAAUAUUAUAACCAUUCUCAAUAGAAUUGACCACUGGUCACAACCUUGCUAACAAUUAUAAUAUAUUCUUCUUGCCAUAUAUUUAUUUUGAAAAUCUGCAAUGCAUUGACACUGAACUAUACUUUUUUUUUUGUACAUAUUAAAAAACAAGACAAACAUAGCAUAAACUAAGUCUAAUAACUUUUCUUUCGAUAACUGAUAAAAUUCCUGAUAACAAAAUAAAGUAGGUGGAGACUGGAGAGUGUUGCUACUGGCUACAAGGCUAUAUGCAGACAAUAAAGCCUCAUUACAAGUACACAGCAGUGAGUCUUAUCCUAAACUGCAUAGCAAGAUGGCGAAAUAUGAAGCAUUGCAAACAAUAGAUUAUAGACAUAUGUAUUUACCUUUUAAGAUUACAUGAAACUGAAGCUAAGCAAUCAAAUUCUUUGCUGAAACUACCUUUGACUUUACGGCUGCAACUCUGUAGCUCAGUAGCUGAAUUGAAUAUCCCACAAAUUCAUGUUUUUCUCGUUCCCUUAAAGUCUUUCCUGCCAUAUAUCUGAUACUGAUCUGCAGCAAUCAAGUUAGCUGUACUUUGAAUGAUUAGGCGCAUUUUCCUUGAUGCAAUCUGCGAUUCCCUUCUUUCCACUAUUUCCAACAAUUCAGAGGUUCAUGGCUGUUUUUGGCGAUUUCAUGGCUAGAAGAGCUCUCUCCUUCAGAAUACAUUUGUAAAGGACGGAUAUCCCAGACCCCUCCACCUCUCCAGUAGGAAGAGUUAACUUGUGGGAUGUGUGCAACUCUGCUAAAAUCUUCACCUUGUUCAUUUGGACUCAAUGUCCUAAUCAAUUCAUCAGGCAUUUCAAAAAACUCUAGCACUUUUAAUUUAGUCAGAUGCUCAAUUCCUGAGGGAACUUUUCUUAAGGAGUUGCAGCGCUGGAUGAUGAGUUUUUCAAGGCGAGGCAUUGCCCCUUUCUCCACAUGUAUGCUUUUCAGAUCAUUGAAUUUAUCAAGACCUAAUAUUUUGAGCUUCUGAAACCCUCCAGUAGCAAAUGACACAAUCUCUCCAUCAAAAGCCUGAAGUAAUUCAAGAUGAAUUAGAUUCGGCAAAUGUUGAAGAUCUGUAAAUGGAUCUUGUUUAAGUCGACUCCCUUUAAGAAACAAUUUCACCAGUCUGUUGACCAUGGUUAUCCAUUCUGGUAGCUUUUCUAGACGCCCUGUCAAGUACAAUCUCUGAAGAUGCUGAGGAGGUGAAAAUUGGCAUUGAAGGUCAAUGAUUUCCUCCUCUUUAACUGCAGUUAUAGACAGUGCUCGAAGCUUACUUAGCUUUUGAAUGGAAGAGCACAGAACCUUCCCAUCUUCUCUUCUCAACUUAGUGAUGCCUAACCUUCGUAGUUCCUUUAGCUUCCCCAACUCUGUCAUUAUAAUAUGGCUUUCUUUAUUUGCCUCUAUAAAGCAGAGCUUCUGCAGGUUUUUCAACUCUCCUAUUUUUGCAGGUGCUUCAAAACCAUAUUUAUAGUUGAAGUGAGCAUAAGGUUCGAACUCAUACCGAUACACC